RNAcentral lists this ribosomal RNA (149 nucleotides) under Cercozoa sp. RNAcentral's name for it is "partial small subunit ribosomal RNA". It matches the Rfam family "Eukaryotic small subunit ribosomal RNA", at positions 1295 to 1461 of the family's 1831-position model. Lineage: Eukaryota; Cercozoa. The record is from RNAcentral.
UAGUUGGUGGAGUGAUUUGUCUGGUUAAUUCCGUUAACGAACGAGACCUCGACCUGCUAAAUAGUUCGACUAGCCCUUCGGGGCUGGCGCGUGACUUCUUAGAGGGACUAUCGGUGUGUAGCCGGUGGAAGUUCGAGGCAAUAACAGGU